UCCGCCGGGAUCUGCGGGGCUCUGCCGCCGCUGCCGCCCUUCUCGCGAGACUGCACUCGCCCUGCCGGCCGCGUGGGCCCGCCCCCCGAGCGUCCCCAUUGGACGGGCUGGCCGCCAAGCCGGCCAAGGACUUCCGGUUCCGCCCCGGAAGUCUGUGGGGCGGUGGGCUCGCUUCCACUCACGGCGGUGCCCCAGGGCCGGGGUGUGGCCGCAGAAAAUAUUUUGAAAGCGAAAUCGGAGCCGGGCACUGAGCCAGGCUUCCUCCGUGCCGCGGCCUCUGCGGGCCCCCCGGCUGGAGGGCUCGGGCCGACCGCUGGUCCUGCCCCGGCCCCUGGCCUUCCUGCCGCGGACUGGGGCUCUCCGUCCGCUGACUCUGCGAGCCGAGCGCUCCUCGUGGGGGCUCCUGUGCACCGAGGAUGCCUCGGGGCAUCCCUGACCUCCUGUCGCCGCUGGAUCCCGGCCCGCCCCGCUCCCCAGUGAUGGCAGCCGCAGCCGUCUCCAAAUAGCUCCCGGGAGCCAGCUCGCCCGCGCUGAGAACCGCGGCCCGAGAACGAGCCGAGCUCAGUGCCCGUUUCCGCGUCACAGGGCCGGCGUCCUGUUUGCCUUCAGCCCUCAACUCGAGUGCUGACUCCUUGUGAGCGUUCUUCACCAGCCCGUCUAAAGGGGAUCCUCGCCCAUCCCGCUGCUCUGUUUCAGUUUCUCCACAGUGUCCGCCACGUUUUUUUGUUUGUUUGUUCCUUUGUCCCCACCACGUCCGUGGUCCCCACAGUUAUGAGCUCCAUGAUCUCAGGGAGCUGGUUGUGUGUUUCGGUCCUCACCACGCCCCCUCCCCGCACCUACACCGGUGCCUGGCACGUGGUGGCGUGGAAGAGUGCCCCCCCCCCAGAAACGGCCCCUUGCAUGGCUUAAGAAGUUGGGACCCGGGGCUUCUUCCCGAUCCUUAACUGCAGCUAAAACCCGGAGGAAGCAAUUACCUAGGAAGUGGGAUUGCCGGGACUCCUGUGAUGUUCUACAGCGGAUAAUCCGUAUCCACAUUUCACCAGGGGAAAAAACAGAGCCCUUCAGGUUUCCUGCCCAGGGCCUCACAUCUAGUAAUCUUUGGAAAUCAGACCUGAGUAAAAGGCUCAUAACUGGUUCCUAGUCCAGAGCUUGCCCCGCACUCCAGCUGUCAAAACCUGCGAGUAUUUGUCGUAAGGCUGACGAGAUGAUACACUCAGGCAAAGGAUGGAAUAACAUUAGCAUUAACCAUGGAAUGAAAAUAAAGCCAUUGAAUGCCUUGUUAUCAUA
Molecule: long non-coding RNA, 1287 nt
Organism: Camelus dromedarius (Arabian camel)
Lineage: Eukaryota; Metazoa; Chordata; Mammalia; Artiodactyla; Camelidae
Exons: 2
Source: RefSeq, a predicted model, not a curated record